UUUCCGUAGGUGAACCUGCGGAAGGAUCAUUAAUGAGUUGUCAUGGGGUUCGAUGCUGGCAGCCAAUUUUUGGAUGCAUGUGCUUGCCCUAACAAUCAUCUUCCAAACACCUGUGCACAUUUUUGAGGGAGUCUUGAGUUGGUUGCCGCUCUUGGGUGAUUUUCUCACAUUCCCUUAAAUCAUUAUACGCUAUUAACAAUGUUGAACGUGCUCUGUGCCGCAAGGCUAUUAAUAUAAUACAACUUUUAACAACGGAUCUCUUGGCUCUCUCAUCGAUGAAGAACGCAGC
Molecule: unclassified non-coding RNA, 289 nt
Filed under: plant metagenome
Description: partial contains small subunit ribosomal RNA, internal transcribed spacer 1, and 5.8S ribosomal RNA
Rfam family: 5.8S ribosomal RNA (bases 241-289)
Source: RNAcentral